CAUUCCUAAUUGAGGGUGUGGGGUCCAAGGAAGAAAUCUGAUUGACUUGUCUAGAAAGGUCUUCUACGAACAGCCUUUUCUCCCACCAUGGACAAAAGAAUGGGCAGUCUGAUUGGCUAGAGCUGUGUCUGUCAAGUCCUACCUGGAACAGGAAAUGAAGGACAUAUUUCUAAAAGGACAAAGUGAAAGUAAGGCAGACAAGGGAGAUGAGAAGAACAGCGUCAGACACCUCCUCCAAGAAGCCUUUUCCAGCAGCCGUAUUUGACUCCUAACCCCCGUGUUUAUCUUCUCUAUAGCGCACCGCAUGUAUAUUACCAUCUGUCUCCUCCUGGCAGCUUUGAAGAUCAUGGCUCUUGCCUGAUGAGUACACCCCGUCCCCAACUGCUGUGACCACACCCUGGAUCUGGAUCUCUACUUGGAUCUUCCAUCAGGAUCCCCUCUCUUCACAGCCACAGCAAUUCUUAUAUCUCUUCUCAGACUCAACGUCUCUGUGAAAGCUCCCCAGUGAUCAUGCCUCGUGUUUUAGUCAACUGUCUGCCACUAUGACAAAAUGGCAGAGGUCAUCAAUCUAUAAAUAGGCAAGAUUUUGGCUUCUGGUUGGAUCCACAGGUUUCCUGGAUGCCUGAUCAUCAUUUUGCAUCUGCAGCAGCACAGUUGAUCAUGGGGGGAAACUUGUGAUUGGAGGCAACCUGUCCUUUUCACAUUAGCCAGGAAACAGAGAGACAGGAAGAAGUCAGAGUCCAGUAUCUCUUAUAAAGAUACUCCUCCAAAGACUUAACUUCUUUCUAGACCCCACUCUUAAAGCUCCCACCUCCUCUAAAUAGCAUCAUAGGUGAGUGACCAAGCCUUUACCAUGGGGCCGUUGGGGCCAUUUUUCUAAUUUAAAUGAUAAGACCCAGGGACCCAUAUGGCUCUUUGUACAAAUCACUCCAAUGACAGUUCUAAACACAUGCUUUUGCAUUCAGUUCUUGUUCUUCCUGCAGAAUCCUGGCAACUCCAGUGGGAAUUUUCUCCGGCCCAGGCACUGUGCUAGGCUCAGGGCCCACAACAUUUUCCAAGCCACAAUCCUAUCUGUAUACUGGCUUACCUGUCUUAUGUUGCAGAUGCUCAUUUGAUCCCAAUGAACUUUGUGAUGCGA
Non-coding RNA from Peromyscus maniculatus bairdii (prairie deer mouse), 1138 nucleotides. The record is from RefSeq and is a predicted model, not a curated record. NCBI's taxonomy places the organism in Eukaryota, Metazoa, Chordata, Mammalia, Rodentia, Cricetidae.